AGUGAACGCUGGCGGUAGGCCUAACACAUGCAAGUCGAACGGCAGCACAGUAAGAGCUUGCUCUUACGGGUGGCGAGUGGCGGACGUGUGAGGAAUACAUCGGAAUCUACUUUUUCGUGGGGGAUAACGUAGGGAAACUUACGCUAAUACCGCAUACGACCUACGGGUGAAAGCAGGGGAUCUUCGGACCUUGCGCGAUUGGAUGAGCCGAUGUCGGAUUAGCUAGUUGGCGGGGUAAAGGCCCACCAAGGCGACGAUCCGUAGCUGGUCUGAGAGGAUGAUCAGCCACACUGGAACUGAGACACGGUCCAGACUCCUACGGGAGGCAGCAGUGGGGAAUAUUGGACAAUGGGCGCAAGCCUGAUCCAGCCAUACCGGGUGGGUGAAGAAGGCCUUCGGGUUGUAAAGCCCUUUUGUUGGGAAAGAAAAGCAGCAGGUUAAUACCCCGCUGUUCUGACGGUACCCAAAGAAUAAGCACCGGCUAACUUCGUG
Molecule: ribosomal RNA, 492 nt
Filed under: uncultured bacterium
Lineage: Bacteria
Description: partial 16S ribosomal RNA
Rfam family: Bacterial small subunit ribosomal RNA
Source: RNAcentral